This 1550-nucleotide ribosomal RNA is filed under the name Enterobacter cloacae. RNAcentral's name for it is "bacterial SSU rRNA". It matches the Rfam family "Bacterial small subunit ribosomal RNA". Lineage: Bacteria; Pseudomonadati; Pseudomonadota; Gammaproteobacteria; Enterobacterales; Enterobacteriaceae. The record is from RNAcentral.
AAAUUGAAGAGUUUGAUCAUGGCUCAGAUUGAACGCUGGCGGCAGGCCUAACACAUGCAAGUCGAACGGUAGCACAGAGAGCUUGCUCUCGGGUGACGAGUGGCGGACGGGUGAGUAAUGUCUGGGAAACUGCCUGAUGGAGGGGGAUAACUACUGGAAACGGUAGCUAAUACCGCAUAAUGUCGCAAGACCAAAGAGGGGGACCUUCGGGCCUCUUGCCAUCAGAUGUGCCCAGAUGGGAUUAGCUAGUAGGUGGGGUAACGGCUCACCUAGGCGACGAUCCCUAGCUGGUCUGAGAGGAUGACCAGCCACACUGGAACUGAGACACGGUCCAGACUCCUACGGGAGGCAGCAGUGGGGAAUAUUGCACAAUGGGCGCAAGCCUGAUGCAGCCAUGCCGCGUGUAUGAAGAAGGCCUUCGGGUUGUAAAGUACUUUCAGCGGGGAGGAAGGUGUUGUGGUUAAUAACCACAGCAAUUGACGUUACCCGCAGAAGAAGCACCGGCUAACUCCGUGCCAGCAGCCGCGGUAAUACGGAGGGUGCAAGCGUUAAUCGGAAUUACUGGGCGUAAAGCGCACGCAGGCGGUCUGUCAAGUCGGAUGUGAAAUCCCCGGGCUCAACCUGGGAACUGCAUUCGAAACUGGCAGGCUAGAGUCUUGUAGAGGGGGGUAGAAUUCCAGGUGUAGCGGUGAAAUGCGUAGAGAUCUGGAGGAAUACCGGUGGCGAAGGCGGCCCCCUGGACAAAGACUGACGCUCAGGUGCGAAAGCGUGGGGAGCAAACAGGAUUAGAUACCCUGGUAGUCCACGCCGUAAACGAUGUCGAUUUGGAGGUUGUGCCCUUGAGGCGUGGCUUCCGGAGCUAACGCGUUAAAUCGACCGCCUGGGGAGUACGGCCGCAAGGUUAAAACUCAAAUGAAUUGACGGGGGCCCGCACAAGCGGUGGAGCAUGUGGUUUAAUUCGAUGCAACGCGAAGAACCUUACCUGGUCUUGACAUCCACAGAACUUUCCAGAGAUGGAUUGGUGCCUUCGGGAACUGUGAGACAGGUGCUGCAUGGCUGUCGUCAGCUCGUGUUGUGAAAUGUUGGGUUAAGUCCCGCAACGAGCGCAACCCUUAUCCUUUGUUGCCAGCGGUUAGGCCGGGAACUCAAAGGAGACUGCCAGUGAUAAACUGGAGGAAGGUGGGGAUGACGUCAAGUCAUCAUGGCCCUUACGACCAGGGCUACACACGUGCUACAAUGGCGCAUACAAAGAGAAGCGACCUCGCGAGAGCAAGCGGACCUCAUAAAGUGCGUCGUAGUCCGGAUUGGAGUCUGCAACUCGACUCCAUGAAGUCGGAAUCGCUAGUAAUCGUAGAUCAGAAUGCUACGGUGAAUACGUUCCCGGGCCUUGUACACACCGCCCGUCACACCAUGGGAGUGGGUUGCAAAAGAAGUAGGUAGCUUAACCUUCGGGAGGGCGCUUACCACUUUGUGAUUCAUGACUGGGGUGAAGUCGUAACAAGGUAACCGUAGGGGAACCUGCGGUUGGAUCACCUCCUUACCUUAAAGAA